CCCUUAGAUGUCCGGGGCCGCACGCGCGCUACACUGAAGGAAUCAGCGUGGCUUUCUCCCUGACCCGAAAGGGUUGGGAAACCCGUUGAAUCUCCUUCGUGAUAGGGAUUGGGGCUUGAAAUUGUUCCCCAUGAACGAGGAAUUCCCAGUGAGCGCGAGUCAUAAGCUCGCGUUGAUUACGUCCCUGCCCUUUGUACACACCGCCCGUCGCUACUACCGAUUGAACGGUUUAGUGAGGGCCUCGGAUUGGUCUCGGCCCGCUCUUUACCGGGCGGCGCCGUUGGUCGAGAAGACGCUCGAACUUGAUCGUUUAGAGGAAGUAAAAGUCGUAACA
This 334-nucleotide ribosomal RNA is filed under the name uncultured eukaryote. Its description in RNAcentral is "partial 18S ribosomal RNA". It matches the Rfam family "Eukaryotic small subunit ribosomal RNA", at positions 1470 to 1796 of the family's 1831-position model. The record is from RNAcentral.